Molecule: transfer RNA, 69 nt
Filed under: Urocitellus parryii (Arctic ground squirrel)
Lineage: Eukaryota; Metazoa; Chordata; Mammalia; Rodentia; Sciuridae
Also listed under: 2 other names
Description: Spermophilus parryii (Arctic ground squirrel) tRNA
Rfam family: tRNA
About the family: Transfer RNA (tRNA) molecules are approximately 80 nucleotides in length. Their secondary structure includes four short double-helical elements and three loops (D, anti-codon, and T loops).
Source: Rfam by way of RNAcentral
GGGGUUGUGGCUCAAUGGUAGAGCACUCGCCUCACACAUGUGAGACUGUGGGUUCAAUCCUCAGCACCA